RNAcentral lists this ribosomal RNA (413 nucleotides) under uncultured prokaryote. RNAcentral's name for it is "bacterial SSU rRNA". It matches the Rfam family "Bacterial small subunit ribosomal RNA", at positions 505 to 918 of the family's 1533-position model. The record is from RNAcentral.
GUGCCAGCAGCCGCGGUAAUACGUAGGGUGCAAGCGUUAAUCGGAAUUACUGGGCGUAAAGCGUGCGCAGGCGGUUUUGUAAGUCUGUCGUGAAAGCCCCGGGCUCAACCUGGGAAUUGCGAUGGAGACUGCAAGGCUUGAAUCUGGCAGAGGGGGGUAGAAUUCCACGUGUAGCAGUGAAAUGCGUAGAGAUGUGGAGGAACACCGAUGGCGAAGGCAGCCCCCUGGGUCAAGAUUGACGCUCAUGCACGAAAGCGUGGGGAGCAAACAGGAUUAGAUACCCUGGUAGUCCACGCCCUAAACGAUGUCUACUAGUUGUCGGGUUUUAAUUAACUUGGUAACGCAGCUAACGCGUGAAGUAGACCGCCUGGGGAGUACGGUCGCAAGAUUAAAACUUAAAUGAAUUGACGGGG